Molecule: ribosomal RNA, 419 nt
Filed under: uncultured bacterium
Lineage: Bacteria
Description: bacterial SSU rRNA
Rfam family: Bacterial small subunit ribosomal RNA
Source: RNAcentral
UGAGGAAUAUUGCACAAUGGGCGCAAGCCUGAUGCAGCGACGCCGCGUGUGGGAUGAAGGGGCUACGCCUCGUAAACCACUGUAGCCCGGGACGAAAAACGCCUUAGAGGCGUUAGACGGUACCGGGAAAGUAAGGGUCGGCUAACUACGUGCCAGCAGCCGCGGUAAUACGUAGGACCCAAGCGUUGUCCGGAUUUACUGGGUGUAAAGGGUGCUCAGGCGGAUUUGUAAGUCAGAGGUGAAAUCUCACAGCUUAACUGUGAAACUGCCUUUGAUACUGCAAGCCUAGAGUAUGGAAGAGAGUGAUGGAAUAUCUGGUGUAGCAGUGAAAUGCGUAGAUAUCAGAUAGAACACCAAUGGCGAAGGCAGUCACUUGGUCCAUUACUGACGCUAAAGCACGAAAGCGUGGGUAGCAAACA